UCAAGGACCAGAAUAAUCUGGUCUUUGAAGGAAUGAAAAAAAGGAGAGACUGGUAGAGCUCCUCUUUGUCAGCGGC
Solanum pennellii is the source of this 76-nucleotide long non-coding RNA. RefSeq lists it as uncharacterized. Lineage: Eukaryota; Viridiplantae; Streptophyta; Magnoliopsida; Solanales; Solanaceae. The transcript is spliced from 3 exons. The record is from RefSeq and is a predicted model, not a curated record.